This 464-nucleotide ribosomal RNA is filed under the name uncultured Saprospirales bacterium. RNAcentral describes it as "bacterial SSU rRNA". It matches the Rfam family "Bacterial small subunit ribosomal RNA", at positions 336 to 797 of the family's 1533-position model. The record is from RNAcentral. Lineage: Bacteria; Pseudomonadati; Bacteroidota; Saprospiria; Saprospirales.
UUCCUACGGGUGGCAGCAGUAGGGAAUAUUGGACAAUGGGCGAAAGCCUGAUCCAGCCAUGCCGCGUGAUAGAUGAAGGCCCUCUGGGUUGUAAAUAUCUUUUAUCUGGGAAGAAACUCCUCUAUUCUUAGAGGCCUGACGGUACCAGAGGAAUAAGCACCGGCUAACUCCGUGCCAGCAGCCGCGGUAAUACGGAGGGUGCAAGCGUUAUCCGGAUUCACUGGGUUUAAAGGGUGCGUAGGCGGGCUGAUAAGUCAGUGGUGAAAGCUCCGAGCUUAACUUGGAAACUGCCAUUGAUACUGCCAGUCUUGAAUGUCGUAGAGGUAAGCGGAAUGUUGCAUGUAGCGGUGAAAUGCUUAGAUAUGUUACAGAACACCAAUUGCGAAGGCAGCUUACUAUGCGAUGAUUGACGCUGAGGCACGAAAGCGUGGGGAGCAAACAGGAUUAGAUACCCCAGUAGUCGA